AAUAGCUCAGUAGGUAGAGCAAAGGACUGAAAAUUCUUGUGUCGGCAGUUCGAGUCUGCCUU
This 62-nucleotide transfer RNA is filed under the name Codium fragile. RNAcentral describes it as "tRNA-Phe". It matches the Rfam family "tRNA", at positions 6 to 65 of the family's 71-position model. From Rfam's summary of the family: Transfer RNA (tRNA) molecules are approximately 80 nucleotides in length. Their secondary structure includes four short double-helical elements and three loops (D, anti-codon, and T loops). Lineage: Eukaryota; Viridiplantae; Chlorophyta; Ulvophyceae; Bryopsidales; Codiaceae. The record is from RNAcentral.